GAUGAACGCUGGCGGCGUGCCUAAUACAUGCAAGUCGAGCGAACAGAUAAGGAGCUUGCUCCUUUGACGAUAGCGGCGGACGGGUGAGUAACACGUGGGGAACCUCCCUAUAAAACUGGCAUAACUCCGGGAAACCGGGGCUGAUACCGGAUAACAUUUAGAACCGCAUGGUUCUAAAGUAAAAGAUGGUUUUGCUAUCACUUAUAGAUGGACCCGCGCCGUAUUAGCUAGUUGGGAAUGUAACGGCUUAACAAGGCAACGAUACGUAGCCGACCUGCGAGGGUGAGCGGCCAAACUGGAUCGGGGGCACGUACCACACUCCUGCGAGAGGCAGCAGUAGCGAAUCCUCAGGAAUGGGAGAAGGCCUGACGUAGCCACGCCGCGUGAGUGAUGAAGGUCUUCGGAUCGUAAAACUCUGUUAUCAGGGAAGUACAAAUGUGUAAGUAUCUGUGCACGUAUUGACGGUACCUAAUCAGAAAGCCACGGCUAACUACGUG
This 497-nucleotide ribosomal RNA is filed under the name uncultured bacterium. RNAcentral describes it as "partial 16S ribosomal RNA". It matches the Rfam family "Bacterial small subunit ribosomal RNA", at positions 28 to 507 of the family's 1533-position model. The record is from RNAcentral.